GACGAACGCUGGCGGCGUGCCUAACACAUGCAAGUCGAACGGAAAGGCCCAGCUUUUUUGGGGUGCUCGAGUGGCGAACGGGUGAGUUGCCCGUGAGUAAGCUGCCCUUGACUGUAGGAUAUCCUCAGACAGCUGGGGCUAAUACCGGCUAGGAGCUCCUGCUGCAUGGUGGGGGUUGGAAAGUUUCGGCGGUUGGGGGUGGACUGGCGGCUUAUUAGCUUGUUGGGUGGGUAGUGGCUUACCAAGGCUUUGACGGGUGGCCGGCCUGGGAGGGUGAACGGCGACAUUAGGCCUGAGAUACGGCCCAGACUGCAAUGGGAGGCAGCAGUGGAGAGUAUUACACAGUGGGCGGGAGCCUGAUGCAGCAACGCCGCGUGCGGGAAGACGGCCAUCGGGUUGGAAAGCGCAGUCGCCUGUGACGAAGCGUGAGUGACGGUAAUGGGUGAAGAAGCACCGGCUAACUCCGUG
This 468-nucleotide ribosomal RNA is filed under the name uncultured bacterium. RNAcentral's name for it is "partial 16S ribosomal RNA". It matches the Rfam family "Bacterial small subunit ribosomal RNA", at positions 28 to 507 of the family's 1533-position model. The record is from RNAcentral.